RNAcentral lists this ribosomal RNA (253 nucleotides) under uncultured bacterium. RNAcentral describes it as "partial 16S ribosomal RNA". It matches the Rfam family "Bacterial small subunit ribosomal RNA", at positions 524 to 776 of the family's 1533-position model. The record is from RNAcentral.
UACGAGAGGCCCAAACGUUAUUCGGAUUUACUGGGCUUAAAGAGUUCGUAGGCGGCGCAGAAAGUAGGGUGUGAAAGCCCUCGGCUCAACCGAGGAAUUGCGCCCUAAACUACUGUGCUUGAGGAAUCUAGAGGUGAGCGGAACUGAUGGUGGAGCGGUGAAAUGCGUAGAUAUCUGGAGGAACACCGGUGGCGAAGGCGACAUCCUGGACCGGUAUUGACGCUGAGGCGCGAAAGCCAGGGGAGCAAACGGG